AGGUGAUAGAUGGGAGGGUUCCUCAGUGUUUCUAAAGGUGAUAGAUGGGAGGGUUCCUCAGUGUUUCUAAAGGUGAUAGAUGGGAGGGUUCCUCAGUGUUUCUAAAGGUGAUAGAUGGGAGGGUUCCUCAGUGUUUCUAAAGGUGAUAGACGGGAGGGUUCCUCAGUGUUUCUAAAGGUGAUAGAUGGGAGGGUUCCUCAGUGUUUCUAAAGGUGAUAGAUGGGAGGGUUCCUCAGUGUUUCUAAAGGUGAUAGAUGGGAGGGUUCCUCAGUGUUUCUAAAGGUGAUAGAUGGGAGGGUUCCUCAGUGUUUCUAAAGGUGAUAGAUGGGAGCGUUCCUCAGUGAUAGAUGGGAGGGUUCCUCAGUGUUUCUAAAGGUGAUAGAU
Non-coding RNA from Oncorhynchus mykiss (rainbow trout), 384 nucleotides. Lineage: Eukaryota; Metazoa; Chordata; Actinopteri; Salmoniformes; Salmonidae. The record is from RefSeq and is a predicted model, not a curated record.